CGUUCAAAUACUAACUAGGGUAGAUUACAUAUAUUUCUCAGUAAGAAAAAUAACAAGAGAGGAGUAAACACUGAAAAAUACAUUCGAUGUAUGUUUUAGGAAAAGUAGUGUAGGCAAAUGAUGUUGUGACAAUGUAAUUUGCAAGAAAAUUUUGACUAAAAGUUGAAAAAGGGUCAUUUGACCCUUCGUGAGUGCUAAUGUACUGAAUGAGUAACUGGGAGAGCAGGGUUUGCUUGAGCCCAGCGAGCGAGGUGGUUGGACCAGGUGGAGCAGGACUUGUCAAGAAUCGGUGCAGCCGGGAGUUGGAGAACUGCAGCCAUGGACCGGGUUUAUUGGAGAAGAGUAGUGAAUCAGAUCUAAUCUCAAUGGGAUGUAGAGUCAUAGUAAAUAAAUAAAUAGGGUUUGAUUGUGCCCUACGCGAGAUUUUCGUUAAUGUUAUUGUUAUGGAGUGCCUGAAUCAAUCGACGCAAACAUCUCGGAGAUCUAUUCGGAAAAUACUGAGCAAUAAGCACUCGAAGUUGGGCAAUUAUCUCGAAGCGACCGAUUUUUCGUUUUUCAAUUCGCAAUUUGCGUGUUUCUGGAAGACGUAAUCCUACGUCAAAAAAUCGUGGUUACUCAGUGCGAGCUAGCAUGCGAACCGGCUUACGAGUUAAUGCACAUUAGCUCGUAUGAUGUGUUCGCACGGCAUAAGAAGCUCUGAUUGCGUUGUGUAACCAGUCCGUUAGCUUUCGGUCGCAGUGUAUGCUGUGUAUUUUUGGGCAAUUGUUAGGACUGAUCUAUAGUAAAUCUUUAGUUUCGGAGGAAAUUGGCAAAUUACGAUAUGACAUCCACCGAUAAUUCGCGAUCGCGAUUUUGUGAGUACUUUGACGAUGUAUCGACGUGCAUGAUCUGUUUGUCUAGAUUGGACGAUCCUUAUUUGUGCCCUUACUGCUCGAAACUUUAUUGCUACACUUGUAUAUUGAAAUGGUUAGAGGCCGAACGGCACCUGAACUGUCCUCACUGCAAUCGUGUCGUGCAGCUGGAGAAACUGGUGAAGGUACGUUGGUUCCAGGAGAUGGAAAGACUACAGCGUAGUUGCUGCGACGAACCGAAGCCAUCGUCUGCCGACGUCCGCAACAACGAAACAUGUUCCAAGCAUAUGCAAACCGUCAACUUGUAUUGCCGCCAAUGUGAAGUCUGCAUAUGUAACGAGUGCGCUGUGAAUGAUCAUAUCCAUUGGGAUCACACAUUCAAAUUACCGGCACGACUUUUCUUACAGCCUCGUCGCCACUUUGUUAUGAUGUGAGGGUAAACCGAGGAAGUAACGUAACAACGAAUAAACAUGUAUUUCAUGUAAUAAUAGUUAAAGUACAAUUGUAUACUACGUUCACAGUCGGCUCUAUCGACAAUGAGAAACCCGAUGACAUUCCUCCUCAAAUCACAUCCGGUUUGUUGACAGCUGUCGGGUGACGGCUGUGAGCGUAACAGAACAGGGUCGCACUCCAAC
Molecule: long non-coding RNA, 1486 nt
Organism: Toxorhynchites rutilus septentrionalis
Lineage: Eukaryota; Metazoa; Arthropoda; Insecta; Diptera; Culicidae
Exons: 3
Source: RefSeq, a predicted model, not a curated record